CGGGAAUAUUGGACAAUGGGCGGAAGCCUGAUCCAGCAAUACCGCGUGUGUGAAGAAGGCCUGCGGGUUGUAAAGCACUUUCAGUUGGGAAGAUAAUGACGUUACCAACAGAAGAAGCACCGGCUAACUCCGUGCCAGCAGCCGCGGUAAUACGGAGGGUGCAAGCGUUAAUCGGAAUUACUGGGCGUAAAGCGUGCGUAGGCGGUUUAUUAAGUCAGAUGUGAAAUCCCCGGGCUCAACCUGGGAACUGCAUCUGAUACUGGUAGACUAGAGUGUGGGAGAGGAGAGUGGAAUUUCCGGUGUAGCGGUGAAAUGCAUAGAGAUCGGAAGGAACAUCAGUGGCGAAGGCGACUCUCUGGACCAACACUGACGCUGAGGCACGAGAGCGUGGGUAGCAAAC
Molecule: ribosomal RNA, 400 nt
Filed under: uncultured bacterium
Lineage: Bacteria
Description: bacterial SSU rRNA
Rfam family: Bacterial small subunit ribosomal RNA
Source: RNAcentral